GAUGAACGCUGGCGGCGUGCCUAAUACAUGCAAGUCGAGCGAACGGACGAGAAGCUUGCUUCUCUGAUGUUAGCGGCGGACGGGUGAGUAACACGUGGAUAACCUACCUAUAAGACUGGGAUAACUUCGGGAAACCGGAGCUAAUACCGGAUAAUAUUUUGAACCGCAUGGUUCAAAAGUGAAAGACGGUCUUGCUGUCACUUAUAGAUGGAUCCGCGCUGCAUUAGCUAGUUGGUAAGGUAACGGCUUACCAAGGCAACGAUGCAUAGCCGACCUGAGAGGGCGAUCGGCCACACUGGAACUGAGACACGGUCCAGGCUCCUACGGGAGGCAGCAGUAGGGAAUCUUCCGCAAUGGGCGAAAGCCUGACGGAGCAACGCCGCGUGAGUGAUGAAGGUCUUCGGAUCGUAAAACUCUGUUAUUAGGGAAGAACAUAUGUGUAAGUAACUGUGCACAUCUUGACGGUACCUAAUCAGAAAGCCACGGCUAACUACGUGCCAGCAGCCGCGGUAAUACGUAGGUGGCAAGCGUUAUCCGGAAUUAUUGGGCGUAAAGCGCGCGUAGGCGGUUUUUUAAGUCUGAUGUGAAAGCCCACGGCGUCAACCGUGGAGGGUCAUUGGAAACUGGAAAACUUGAGUGCAGAAGAGGAAAGUGGAAUUCCAUGUGUAGCGGUGAAAUGCGCAGAGAUAUGGAGGAACACCAGUGGCGAAGGCGACUUUCUGGUCUGUAACUGACGCUGAUGUGCGAAAGCGUGGGGAUCAAACAGGAUUAGAUACCCUGGUAGUCCACGCCGUAAACGAUGAGUGCUAAGUGUUAGGGGGUUUCCGCCCCUUAGUGCUGCAGCUAACGCAUUAAGCACUCCGCCUGGGGAGUACGACCGCAAGGUUGAAACUCAAAGGAAUUGACGGGGACCCGCACAAGCGGUGGAGCAUGUGGUUUAAUUCGAAGCAACGCGAAGAACCUUACCAAAUCUUGACAUCCUUUGACAACUCUAGAGAUAGAGCCUUCCCCUUCGGGGGGCAAAGUGACAGGUGGUGCAUGGUUGUCGUCAGCUCGUGUCGUGAGAUGUUGGGUUAAGUCCCGCAACGAGCGCAACCCUUAAGCUUAGUUGCCAUCAUUAAGUUGGGCACUCUAAGUUGACUGCCGGUGACAAACCGGAGGAAGGUGGGGAUGACGUCAAAUCAUCAUGCCCCUUAUGAUUUGGGCUACACACGUGCUACAAUGGACAAUACAAAGGGCAGCGAAACCGCGAGGUCAAGCAAAUCCCAUAAAGUUGUUCUCAGUUCGGAUUGUAGUCUGCAACUCGACUACAUGAAGCUGGAAUCGCUAGUAAUCGUAGAUCAGCAUGCUACGGUGAAUACGUUCCCGGGUCU
RNAcentral lists this ribosomal RNA (1373 nucleotides) under uncultured bacterium. Its description in RNAcentral is "bacterial SSU rRNA". It matches the Rfam family "Bacterial small subunit ribosomal RNA", at positions 28 to 1381 of the family's 1533-position model. The record is from RNAcentral.